This 253-nucleotide ribosomal RNA is filed under the name uncultured bacterium. Its description in RNAcentral is "partial 16S ribosomal RNA". It matches the Rfam family "Bacterial small subunit ribosomal RNA", at positions 524 to 776 of the family's 1533-position model. The record is from RNAcentral.
UACGUAGGGGGCAAGCGUUGUCCGGAAUCAUUGGGCGUAAAGAGCGUGUAGGCGGCUCGAUAAGUCCGCUGUGAAAGUCCAGGGCUCAACCCUGGAAGGCCGGUGGAAACUGUCGGGCUAGAGUCCGGAAGAGGCGAGUGGAAUUCCUGGUGUAGCGGUGGAAUGCGCAGAUAUCAGGAGGAACACCCAUAGCGAAGGCAGCUUGCUGGGACGUUACUGACGCUAAGGCGCGAAAGCGUGGGGAGCGAACAGG